UGAGUUAAUGGCUAAAGAUUUUUCCAUAGAAAAUUUAAAUUUUAUAUAAAUUUCUAUUUUUAGAUUCAAAAUUUGUGAGACUCCAGAUAGUCCUAUAUAUGAGAUGUAAUAUGGCUAAAACUCUUAACACAGCUAUAACAUUUUGGUGGUGGCUAAGUUCAGCGUGCAAGUAAUAUAGUAGUCCUAGAAUGGGUGAUCCUCUAGGAAGUAAGACGUCACAGUUGGUAUUAGAGUCAAUUAUCAGUCGAAAAUAUGACAUAAAUCUUGGCUGAGCCAGGUUUAUACAGUGGAGACAGCGAGGCUUUUAUUGCUGAUGACUAUUGUGGAUAGAGUGCGGCUCCCCUCACAAGGUUGAUUAAGAUUAGCGAAACGAAUCUCACAUCGUAUGGUACUUAUGAGUCGGAGCCUGACAAGAACGUCAGGAAUUAAAAAAGGGAGAAUAUAAGAUCCUAGGUAGUCAUAUAU
Molecule: long non-coding RNA, 465 nt
Filed under: Ananas comosus (pineapple)
Lineage: Eukaryota; Viridiplantae; Streptophyta; Magnoliopsida; Poales; Bromeliaceae
Description: long non-coding RNA (ACOM_LNC021020)
Source: RNAcentral